CCUACGGGGUGCUGCAGUGGGGAAUAUUGGGCAAUGGGCGCAAGCCUGACCCAGCAACGCCGCGUGAAGGAAGAAGGCUUUCGGGUUGUAAACUUCUUUUCUCAGGGACGAAGAAAGUGACGGUACCUGAGGAAUAAGCCACGGCUAACUACGUGCCAGCAGCCGCGGUAAUACGUAGGUGGCAAGCGUUAUCCGGAUUUACUGGGUGUAAAGGGCGUGUAGGCGGGAAAGCAAGUCAGAUGUGAAAACCAUGGGCUCAACCUGUGGCCUGCAUUUGAAACUGUUUUUCGUGAGUACUGGAGAGGCAGACGGAAUUCCUCGUGUAGCGGUGAAAUGCAUAGAUAUCACGCAGAACUCCGAUUGCGAAGGCAGCAUACCGGAGCCCGACUGACGCUGAGGCACGAAAGCGUGGGGAUCGAACAGGAUUAGAUACCCCGGUAGUC
This 443-nucleotide ribosomal RNA is filed under the name uncultured bacterium. RNAcentral's name for it is "partial 16S ribosomal RNA". It matches the Rfam family "Bacterial small subunit ribosomal RNA", at positions 338 to 795 of the family's 1533-position model. The record is from RNAcentral.